This 75-nucleotide antisense RNA is filed under the name Streptomyces sp. MBRL 601. RNAcentral describes it as "ASpks sRNA". It matches the Rfam family "ASpks TB sRNA". The record is from RNAcentral. Lineage: Bacteria; Bacillati; Actinomycetota; Actinomycetes; Kitasatosporales; Streptomycetaceae.
CUUGACGGAGCCGAGCCACAGCGGCUCGUCCGCCGCCCGGUCCUGCCCAUAGGUGGCGAGCACGGCCUGGGCCUC